This 4439-nucleotide long non-coding RNA is filed under the name Homo sapiens (human). RNAcentral's name for it is "non-protein coding lnc-ETS2-8:5". The record is from RNAcentral. Lineage: Eukaryota; Metazoa; Chordata; Mammalia; Primates; Hominidae.
AGAAGGAACGAACCCUGCUCACACCUGGAUCCCAGACUUCUAGCUUCCAGGACGGAGAAAAUAAAUGUUGUUGAAGCCGCCUACCCUAUGGUACUUUAUUAUGGAAGCCCUAGCACACUAAUACAUUAAGAAUAAGGAAGAAAUGGUUUCACAAAUUAUAUUGCAUCAAUGUGAACUCUCUUUGGGCACAAACACAGGAUAAACAUCUGUCAGAUAGGAUUAAAGUGCCUGUGUGCCACUGAGGAAUGGGAUGAAGAGAGAAGGAAGAUAAUAAGAAGAGAAGGCAAGAAGAAGAAGAAGAAUCAAACAGACAGAAAUGGAACUUCCCUCAAAGGUGGUGCAGACCUGCCUGGGGCCCCUGAGAGCAGGAAGGCUUUCCUCCUGAAUCCAGCAGAGCUCUUCUCACCACGUGGCCAGAGUCUGCCUUCUGCAUGAAUGUCAUUGCCUAAGUGACUUCGAGAUGCAGAUGGAGCGUGGUUUCACCCUCAGUCUCUCCUCCUCUGGUUCACGCCCAUGUCUGAUUCCUGGGCAUCGCUUUGCCUCAGAAAGCCACCUCCAGUCUUUCCCACCCACUUCCAAUUUGCCCUUGCCCCUUCCUCCAAGCCAAGGCAGUGGUUGUAUAAACAUAGCUGUAUGUACAACACUCAGCUUUUACACUGGUCUCCAUUGAAUGAGUAAUCGCAUUACCAACCUUCUAAGCAAGUCGGCUCCCUCAGGACUGCCGUCUUCCAGCCCUCGUAGUACGAAAAUGAUUCAUUAGUCCCUUCAUCACAAUAACAUGAGUCACAUGUUAUGAAAAGCUAGGAGGAUGUAUUUUGUGUACACUGAAAUCUAAGGUUUGCAAAUUUCUGCAAUUUAACUUUAUUGAGGAGGGAGUGGGGUAGAAAUGAAUUCCACAUUUUUUCUAAGUACGAAAACCCACAUCAGGCAACAUCUGCUUAAGUCAGUCUCCAAGGACUCAAUGUAAACGGUUGUUGAUAUAAAUAGAUGUGUUUUUAAGCAAAGACAGAUGUCCCAGCCCCAAAUGUUAAGAAAACAAUUAAGUUCAAAGACAUGUUGGUUUUCAUUUCUUUCCCAAUAGGUGAAUCUUCACUGGGCUAUGACAAUGAGGGGUGGAAGAGAGAACACUGUGUUUCCCUGUGGAAAGCAAUUCCUGACUAUGCAGCCAGCUCUACUCCAGGGAAGAGAAGGCUCAGUCUCUCCCUUCAAAGAGUCUGUUUCUGGAUGCUGGCAGUCAUUCAGAAACAUUUGCUGAGCACCUCGUACCUGCUGAAUGAACCCACGUGAAGGGGAGCCAGGAGUGCGGAUCAUUAAAAAGCCUGUACUUUCUCAGUCCCCAUUUGACACCACAGAGAGAAAAUGCAUGCUCCUGAUUUGGGUAGAUCUAGAAUGUUCUUAUGAAUAUGGUAGGUGGAGCAAGGGAUCCAGGUUCUUAUGAUACAUGAUAAGAAAGGCCCUAGCUUGGUCAGACACAAAUAAAAGCCAAGCUUUUCAUCUAAACUCCCUUGCACCAUCACCCCCUUACCAACCAGUACAGAGAGCUUAACAUCUCUAUACCAGAUAGUGAAUGUUUCUAAUAAGAAUGGCAAAUUCUUAUUGUGAGAGAGAUAAGGGCAUUCAAGUGUUAAUUCAAGAGAAAUAUGUAUAUGGUUCUUUAAAUGAUUUAUUUACUAACAGCAUUAAGUAUGGUGUAAAGGAAUUUACAUACCCUAAUUCUCGUCUAUAUAUUUUUUUGGAUUUUAAAAUGACAACUUGUCUAAGUUCGCAUUAGUAUUAAGCCCUAACAUGAGACAGUAUUUAUAGCAUAAGAUUUUUGCCACCUAUUUUUAAUUGUAGCGCUGUUUUAUCAAUAAGAUCAAUUAAAGAGUUGAACAUUUGAAAAGAAGAAACAUGAAAAUGAAUUUCUAACUGUACGGUAUUGAAUACAUGAAAGUUCUCUUAAACUUAGUCCAGAGUCUCAAUAAACAUGGUAAGUAUGUAAUAAUUCACAUUUACAACCGCCAUAAAAACUCUAUCAACCAAAUUAUUUUAUGACGUCAAAAUUAUCUGAAAAAAAUUGAGGAACUAAAAUUUUUAAAAAUAGGUUCUCAGUUAGAGCUGUCUAUUAAAAGGAUAAAUUUUAAACUCUCCGGAGCUGGCCUUCCUGGUUCCAGGAGCAGCCUGUUGGCCUUCUCUCGCAAAGCUCAGUUCCUUUCCUCCAUUCCAGAAGACCCUCAAGCCUGUCCCAUGCACCUGGUUUUACAUUUUUAAAUGUUAAAAGGAAGACCACCGUGAAAGAUUGGCAUGUUAAUAGUAGGCUAAGGCGACAGGUGCUGGGGCUCCGGCUUAGAGAUCCCCACAGAUUCCAUGCUCCCAGGGCUGGCUGCAGCCAUCUGCCCCCACCCACCCCCACCCGGCCCAGCCCUCCCCUCCUGGAGGUGGAAUCGUGGCUUGCACAAUCCCCUCUGGGCCCCUGGGGGAGGCGCACCAUAUUGAUUUUUUGGACUUCGUUUCUGUGUGUCUCACCAGUCUUUGCCCGGCACAGUGACUCACUGGCGUCCCUUUCAGGACUUUCUCCCGCCUGAUAACAUCUAAAUGACUCAUGCCUACACCACCUGGAGAGCUCAGGGAAGGCACGGUUUGUUCAGGCCACCCUCACUCCAAGGGCCAGCCCUUUUUUGGAAUAGAAACUAAAAGUUGGUAGCUUCCAUUUGUAGUUCCAUCUAACAGAAGAGCCGACCCACUCACAUUAGCUGGCUCACGACUAAGGCAACCAAUGCCUCCCAGAACAUAGACUCAACUGGCAACCCCGGCACUGAAGGUCAAGGUGAGUCAAAGACACUCAUGCAGAAGGGUGGAUGCUCUUCCAAGUGUGACUGGCUGGCCUGCACGGCUCACUGCCUCCCCUCCUCCCGUCAAGAUGCAGCUUCAGUUUAAACCACCUUCGUUCCAUUCAUCAAAGAGGAAUAUUUACUGUUAUUGUAAUGACUCUUCUCACAGUACACAAGGCUACACCUGAAACACACAGGCCUUUCAGAAAGCACAAAGGAGCAUUGUGCAAGCCCCUGCCCAGUGAGAUGGAUGGGGGCGUAGACACGCCAGUUAACAGCCGGGCUUUGCAGGCCAGCAAGACUUAUCUGUGGCCGCACCAUGGCCACUGAGCUUGUACCUUUCUUCUUUUAAAAAUUGCUCCUUCAUUAUAAGCAGAGUUAAAUACCUGCACAUGUGAUUUGUGUUGAAAUAAUAAAGCAACAAACACACAUCAAGCUGAGGAGAGAAUCUUGGCUAAGGUAGGAAGUCGUGGGUCUGGUCUCAGUCUGUGCUGCUGACCAACUGUAAGAACUCAGAACUCACUGUCCACUCAGGACCACAGUGUCUCAUCUGAAAGGACGAGGAGACUGGAACACACCAGAGCCAUGGUUCUCAAUGUGUGGUCCAGAGGCCCUCGGGGGUCCCUGAGCCUCUUUCUGGGGAUCUGUGAGGUCAAAACUACUUUCACAAGUAUGGUUUGCCUUUUUCACUCUCACUCUCUCAUGCUUGAACAAUGGAAUCUUCUAAAGGCUUCCUGACACGUGAUGCUACAAUGGAUGGAAUCCAGAGGUGGAUAGGAGAAGCCAGCUGCCUUCUAUUAAACCAGAAAUGAAGAACAUUUGCAGAAAUGUACAACAAUGCCAUGCUUCCCAUUAAUUAUUUUGUUCUUGCUUUAGAAUAUGUCACUUUUCAUUGAAAAAUGUUACUCAUGAUUUUAUGUAAAAGGUUUAUUGUUGUUACUUUUAAAUACAUAUUUUAAGUGUUUUUUAGUUUUGAUUUCUAAUAUGGCAAAAAUUGGUAAAAUCACAUACACAAGGGCUUUUGGGGAUCCUCAAAACUUUUUAAGAGUGUAAAGGGAUCCAGAGACCAAAAGUUUGAUAACCACUAACCAAAAACUUUGACAACCAUCAUCUUGAAGGGUCCUUGGACUUUCUGGAAUUUGGAUCUCCCUUGCCUUGUUCAGUUUUCUCUCUUUUUAGCCAUCUCGUACUUACUGCCAUUUCAGUUCCUAUGUACCUGACUUAUUAAUUAUGCUUAUUGUUUACCAUGUGUGUUCCCCUCCCAUAUAAACUCCAUGAGGACUGAGAUAUUUGUCCAUGAUGUUCAUCAGUGCAUCCCAGGCUGCCUAGAACUGGGCCUGGCCCUUAGCAGGCACUUGUUUUUGGAUGGGAGGGAGGAGAAGGGAGGGGAGAGGGCAAGUUCUUUCAGUGUCUGUAUAAUGGACAGAGCAAGGUGUACCACCUCGGUGUGAUAGAAGAGAUGGAGACAGGAGAAAGGAAGCUCUGCACAGGAUCACGUGGUAGGUGGCAAAGUCAGGGCUCCAUCACAGCUUCUGUUGUCACAUGACUCUGUUAUCUGACCCUUUAAGGCAGCCCCUUCUGCUCCAACAGAGCUUCAGGGUAACUGAGUGCCCCGCAAUUGGUGUUAGC